AGAAGUGAAUGGCAGAGUUGAGGCAGGCUUUAGAGCAUUCAGAAGACUCAAUAGGGUAUUGAUUAUAUUCUUUUGGUUGUGGAUCGAAUUGGCAAGGAGCAUUGCAAAGUUAAUUAACUUGAUUAUUAAUAGCAAGAG
Long non-coding RNA from Humulus lupulus (European hop), 138 nucleotides. RefSeq lists it as uncharacterized. NCBI's taxonomy places the organism in Eukaryota, Viridiplantae, Streptophyta, Magnoliopsida, Rosales, Cannabaceae. The transcript has 2 exons. The record is from RefSeq and is a predicted model, not a curated record.